This 468-nucleotide ribosomal RNA is filed under the name uncultured bacterium. RNAcentral's name for it is "partial 16S ribosomal RNA". It matches the Rfam family "Bacterial small subunit ribosomal RNA", at positions 28 to 507 of the family's 1533-position model. The record is from RNAcentral.
GACGAACGCUGGCGGCGUGCUUAACACAUGCAAGUCGAACGGAAAGGCCCUGCUUUUGUGGGGUGCUCGAGGGGCGAACGGGUGAGUAACACGUGAGUAACCUGCCCUUGACUUUGGGAUAACUUCACGAAACUGGGGCUAAUACCGGAUAGGAGCUCCUGCUGCAUGGGGGGGGUUGGAACGUUUCGGCGGUUGGGGAUGGACUCGCGGCUUAUCAGCUUGUUGGUGGGGUAGUGGCUUACCAAGGCUUUGACGGGUAGCCGGCCUGAGAGGGUGACCGGCCACAUUGGGCCUGAGGUACGGCCCAGACUCCUACGGGAGGCAGCAGUGGGGAAUAUUGCACAAUGGGCGGAAGCCUGAUGCAGCAACGCCGCGUGCGGGAUGACGGCCUUCGGGUUGUAAACCGCUUUCGCCUGUGACGAAGCGUGAGUGACGGUAAUGGGUAAAGAAGCACCGGCUAACUACGUG